CCUACGGGAGGCUGCAGUGGGGAAUAUUGCACAAUGGGCGCAAGCCUGAUGCAGCCAUGCCGCGUGUGUGAAGAAGGCCUUCGGGUUGUAAAGCACUUUCAGCGGGGAGGAAGACGGUGAGGUUAAUAACCUCAUCGAUUGACGUUACCCGCAGAAGAAGCACCGGCUAACUCCGUGCCAGCAGCCGCGGUAAUACGGAGGGUGCAAGCGUUAAUCGGAAUUACUGGGCGUAAAGCGCACGCAGGCGGUCUGUCAAGUCGGAUGUGAAAUCCCCGGGCUCAACCUGGGAACUGCAUUCGAAACUGGCAGGCUAGAGUCUUGUAGAGGGGGGUAGAAUUCCAGGUGUAGCGGUGAAAUGCGUAGAGAUCUGGAGGAAUACCGGUGGCGAAGGCGGCCCCCUGGACAAAGACUGACGCUCAGGUGCGAAAGCGUGGGGAGCAAACAGGAUUAGAUACCCUAGUAGUC
This 465-nucleotide ribosomal RNA is filed under the name uncultured Klebsiella sp. Its description in RNAcentral is "bacterial SSU rRNA". It matches the Rfam family "Bacterial small subunit ribosomal RNA", at positions 338 to 795 of the family's 1533-position model. Lineage: Bacteria; Pseudomonadati; Pseudomonadota; Gammaproteobacteria; Enterobacterales; Enterobacteriaceae. The record is from RNAcentral.